Gavialis gangeticus (Gharial) is the source of this 91-nucleotide long non-coding RNA. RefSeq lists it as uncharacterized. The transcript is spliced from 3 exons. NCBI's taxonomy places the organism in Eukaryota, Metazoa, Chordata, Crocodylia, Gavialidae. The record is from RefSeq and is a predicted model, not a curated record.
GGCAAGAGUUUUUGUAGGUGAUACCUUUUAUUGAACCAACUGCAUGGUUGGAACAGAGUCAGACAAGCUUUGUAAUGCAGGACAUUCUUCA